Molecule: ribosomal RNA, 433 nt
Filed under: uncultured bacterium
Lineage: Bacteria
Description: partial 16S ribosomal RNA
Rfam family: Bacterial small subunit ribosomal RNA
Source: RNAcentral
AACGAACGCUGGCGGCAUGCCUAACACAUGCAAGUCGAACGAUACCUUCGGGUCUAGUGGCGCACGGGUGCGUAACGCGUGGGAACCUGCCCUUAGGUUCGGAAUAACUCCCCGAAAGGGGUGCUAAUACCGGAUAAUUUCUUCGGACCAAAGAUUUAUCGCCUUUGGAUGGGCCCGCUUUGGAUUAGCUAGUUGGUAGGGUAAAAGCCUACCAAGGCGACGAUCCAUAGCUGGUCUGAGAGGAUGAUCAGCAACACUGGGACUGAGACACGGCCCAGACUCCUACGGGAGGAAGAAGUGGGGAAUAUUGGACAAUGGGCGAAAGCCUGAGCCAGCAAUGCCGCGUGAGUGAUGAAGGCCUUAGGGUUGUAAAGCUCUUUUACCCGGGAUGAUAAUGACAGUACCGGGAGAAUAAGCUCCGGCUAACUCCGUG